Molecule: small RNA, 28 nt
Filed under: Bombyx mori (domestic silkworm)
Lineage: Eukaryota; Metazoa; Arthropoda; Insecta; Lepidoptera; Bombycidae
Description: ovarian small RNA-36005
Source: RNAcentral
UGUUACAGUGGUUACUGCAGCUCAUAGA